GGUGAUAGCGUGCCUUUUGUAGAAUGAACCGGCGAGUUACGAUUUGUUGCAAGGUUAAGCGGAAAAAGCGGAGCCGUAGCGAAAGCGAGUCUGAAUAGGGCGCAUAAGUAACAGGUCGUAGACCCGAAACCAGGUGAUCUACCCAUGUCCAGGAUGAAGGUAAGGUAAUACUUACUGGAGGUCCGAACCCACGCACGUUGAAAAGUGCGGGGAUGAGGUGUGGGUAGCGGAGAAAUUCCAAUCGAACUUGGAGAUAGCUGGUUCUCUCCGAAAUAGCUUUAGGGCUAGCCUCGAGGUAAAGAGUCAUGGAGGUAGAGCACUGUUUGGACUAGGGGCCCUUCUCGGGUUACCGAAUUCAGAUAAACUCCGAAUGCCAUGUACUUAUACUCGGGAGUCAGACUGCGAGUGAUAAGAUCCGUAGUCGAAAGGGAAACAGCCCAGACCACCAGUUAAGGUCCCCAAAUAUAUGUUAAGUGGAAAAGGAUGUGGGGUUGCUUAGACAACCAGGAUGUUGGCUUAGAAGCAGCCACCAUUGAAAGAGUGCGUAAUAGCUCACUGGUCGAGUGACCCCGCGCCGAAAAUGUACCGGGGCUAAACAUAUUACCGAAACUGUGGAUGAACCUCUUUAGAGGUUCGUGGUAGGAGAGCGUUCUAAGGGCGGUGAAGUCAGACCGGAAGGACUGGUGGAGCGCUUAGAAGUGAGAAUGCCGGUAUGAGUAGCGAAAGAAGGGUGAGAAUCCCUUCCACCGAAUAUCUAAGGUUUCCUGAGGAAGGCUCGUCCGCUCAGGGUUAGUCGGGACCUAAGCCGAGGCCGAUAGGCGUAGGCGAUGGACAACAGGUAGAGAUUCCUGUACCAGUGCUAAUUGUUUAACCGAUGGGGUGACACAGAAGGAUAGGGAAUCGCACGAAUGGAAAUGUGCGUCCAAGCAGUGAGUGUGAG
Molecule: ribosomal RNA, 940 nt
Filed under: Listeria monocytogenes
Lineage: Bacteria; Bacillati; Bacillota; Bacilli; Caryophanales; Listeriaceae
Description: partial 23S ribosomal RNA
Rfam family: Bacterial large subunit ribosomal RNA
Source: RNAcentral